Molecule: ribosomal RNA, 756 nt
Filed under: Salmonella enterica
Lineage: Bacteria; Pseudomonadati; Pseudomonadota; Gammaproteobacteria; Enterobacterales; Enterobacteriaceae
Also listed under: 1 other name
Description: bacterial LSU rRNA
Rfam family: Bacterial large subunit ribosomal RNA
Source: RNAcentral
CAUCCUCCAAGGCUAAAUACUCCUGACUGACCGAUAGUGAACCAGUACCGUGAGGGAAAGGCGAAAAGAACCCCGGCGAGGGGAGUGAAAAAGAACCUGAAACCGUGUACGUACAAGCAGUGGGAGCCUCUUUUAUGGGGUGACUGCGUACCUUUUGUAUAAUGGGUCAGCGACUUAUAUUCUGUAGCAAGGUUAACCGAAUAGGGGAGCCGGAGGGAAACCGAGUCUUAAUUGGGCGUUAAGUUGCAGGGUAUAGACCCGAAACCCGGUGAUCUAGCCAUGGGCAGGUUGAAGGUUGGGUAACACUAACUGGAGGACCGAACCGACUAAUGUUGAAAAAUUAGCGGAUGACCUGUGGCUGGGGGUGAAAGGCCAAUCAAACCGGGAGAUAGCUGGUUCUCCCCGAAAGCUAUUUAGGUAGCGCCUCGUGAAUUCAUCUCCGGGGGUAGAGCACUGUUUCGGCUAGGGGGCCAUCCCGGCUUACCAACCCGAUGCAAACUGCGAAUACCGGAGAAUGUUAUCACGGGAGACACACGGCGGGUGCUAACGUCCGUCGUGAAGAGGGAAACAACCCAGACCGCCAGCUAAGGUCCCAAAGUCAUGGUUAAGUGGGAAACGAUGUGGGAAGGCCCAGACAGCCAGGAUGUUGGCUUAGAAGCAGCCAUCAUUUAAAGAAAGCGUAAUAGCUCACUGGUCGAGUCGGCCUGCGCGGAAGAUGUAACGGGGCUAAACCAUGCACCGAAGCUGCGGCAGCGA